ACUUCUGGAUCCUGCUCGGGCUGUGAUAGGACAGCGCGGGGGCAGCGGGGGAACACGCGGGCACGCCGAGAUCCGGCGCUCGGGACCCCGAUGAGGGGAGGCCUUUCACUCCUGGGGUGUCACGCGACCCACGCUUUCCUCCAUGUCCACUCCCACCCCCCAUGGGUUCCACUUUGCUGUCCCCCGAGCUGCCGCUCCUCCCCAGCAGACACCGUCUCCGCCGGGGCUGCCGACCCCCGGAGAGGCCCCGAGCGGCGUGGGCGGCGGGAGGAGGGAGCUGUGAAGCCGCAGGCAGGGGGUUAGGCUGCGGGCUGCUGAGACGCCGAGCUGUUUCUCAGAAGUGCAGCUGCCCCUCCCCUCACACCCCCCUCACUCCCACCGCGCGCCGCACCCCUGCCCCCUCUCCGCCGGCCUCCCUUUCCUCUCCCAGGCACCCUAGCCGGGAAUCUGGGGUCUGGGUCCACGCAGAAUUAAGAGGAGAACCUGAGAAAGGGCGGGGGCCGGGGGUUCAGACCCAGCCUCAGCGCGCGUUAUUCCGAGCCUCCUAUAAUUCCACAGCUUGAGCAAGACUGGGAAACCUGUAGGAGACCCUCAGCCAGUUUGAACAUUUUGGAGUGCUGAUGGGAGGGAGAUGAUGCUGAUCAUGGAGCCAGAGG
This 656-nucleotide long non-coding RNA is filed under the name Homo sapiens (human). Its description in RNAcentral is "HSALNT0389656". The record is from RNAcentral. Lineage: Eukaryota; Metazoa; Chordata; Mammalia; Primates; Hominidae.